UACGUAGGGGGCAAGCGUUGUCCGGAAUCAUUGGGCGUAAAGAGCGCGUAGGCGGCCCUGUAAGUCCGCUGUGAAAGUCAAGGGCUCAACCCUUGGAUGCCGGUGGAUACUGCAGGGCUAGAGUCCGGAAGAGGCGAGUGGAAUUCCUGGUGUAGCGGUGAAAAUGCGCAGAUAUCAGGAGGAACACCCGAUGGCGAAGGCAGCUCGCUGGGACGGUACUGACGCUGAGGAGCGAAAGUGUGGGGAGCGAACAGG
This 255-nucleotide ribosomal RNA is filed under the name uncultured bacterium. RNAcentral describes it as "partial 16S ribosomal RNA". It matches the Rfam family "Bacterial small subunit ribosomal RNA", at positions 524 to 776 of the family's 1533-position model. The record is from RNAcentral.